Molecule: long non-coding RNA, 1141 nt
Organism: Anolis carolinensis (green anole)
Lineage: Eukaryota; Metazoa; Chordata; Lepidosauria; Squamata; Anolidae
Exons: 2
Source: RefSeq, a predicted model, not a curated record
ACACAGUCUUUCAGGGGGAGUGCAACCCCAUCUAGAAUGGGUUGACACACCUCUACCCCUAGAUUAGGACCCUUGAUGGCAAGCCCCUCUGAUUUGUCUGGAUUCAGUUUCAAUUUGUUUUUCCUCAUCCAGCCCAUUACCUUCUCCAGGCAUUCAUUCAGAGGAGACAUGAUAUCCUUAGCUGAGGCUGUUUUUGAAGGCAUAGAGAAAUAUAUUUGGGUGGCAUCAGCAUACUGAUAACACCCCACCCAUUUUUUUCGUGUCAGGAGCAACUGGUUGCUUCUGGUGUGAGAGAAUUGGCCGUCUGCAAGGACGUUGCCCAGGGGACGCCCGGAUGUUUUGAUGUUUUUUACCAUCCUUGUGAGAGGCUUCUCUCAUGUCCCCGCAUGGAGCUGGAGCUGAUAGAGGGAGCUCAUCCGCGCUCUCCCCAGGUGGGAUUCGAACCUGGCAGCCUUCAGGUCAGCAACCCAACCUUCAAGUCACGAGGCUUUUAUCUCCUAACCCUAACCCUAACCCAAAGAGCUUGUGAAACUACAAACCUCAAGAUUCCAUAUAUGGCAGUUAAAGUGGGGUCAAACUGCAUUCCUUCUACAGUGUAGAUGUAUCCUACAAAAAGGAAACAUACUUCUUCUUCUUCAUUGCAAAUUACCCUCUCUCCUCACUAUUCUGGCAACUGCAAUUCCCAGGCCUUGUCUAUCUAGUUUGCAUUUAUGGGAGCUCAGUCUGGAUUUAAUAAUUUUUCAGUGACACAGCAGUCUGAAGGAUUAGAUUCCACAUUUUAAUGUCUAAAUAAUCCCCUUUCCCCUGAUAAUUUAACCUGACAUAUUCUAUUUCAGUUUAAAUUCAGGACUAAUUAUACGCUUCAAGUCUGAUUAAAACCACAACUCAUGAUUCCAAGGGAACAGAGGGACAGAAGACCAUGGGGAACUCCUGUAACCCAACCUCGGAUCCUGACCGGUAGACGGACCAGCAGCCAUAACCCUCUCACAAAAGCCAGUUUUUGAUUUUAUAUCUUUCUAUCAAAGGUCUGCAGACAUGCUCUGAUACAUGUCAGUGCACGUGCGGACCAGAUCUGCAACAGCAAAUCUCUCACAGAGAGACUGUCCUUUGUCAACCCUUUAAUAAAAAUGCAUAUUUCCUA